AACGAACGCUGGCGGCAUGCCUAACACAUGCAAGUCGAACGAGACCUUCGGGUCUAGUGGCGCACGGGUGCGUAACGCGUGGGAAUCUGCCCCUUGGUUCGGAAUAACUUCGGGAAACUGAAGCUAAUACCGGAUAAUGACGUAAGUCCAAAGAUUUAUCGCCAAGGGAUGAGCCCGCGUAGGAUUAGCUAGUUGGUGGGGUAAAGGCUCACCAAGGCGACGAUCCUUAGCUGGUCUGAGAGGAUGAUCAGCCACACUGGGACUGAGACACGGCCCAGACUCCUACGGGAGGCAGCAGUGGGGAAUAUUGGACAAUGGGCGAAAGCCUGAUCCAGCAAUGCCGCGUGAGUGAUGAAGGCCUUAGGGUUGUAAAGCUCUUUCACCCACGACGAUGAUGACGGUAGUGGGAGAAGAAGCCCCGGCUAACUUCGUGCCAGCAGCCG
Molecule: ribosomal RNA, 443 nt
Filed under: uncultured bacterium
Lineage: Bacteria
Description: bacterial SSU rRNA
Rfam family: Bacterial small subunit ribosomal RNA
Source: RNAcentral